AGUGAACGCUGGCGGUAGGCCUAACACAUGCAAGUCGAACGGCAGCACAGUAAGAGCUUGCUCUUACGGGUGGCGAGUGGCGGACGGGUGAGGAAUACAUCGGAAUCUACUUUUUCGUGGGGGAUAACGUAGGGAAACUUACGCUAAUACCGCAUACGACCUACGGGUGGAAGCAGGGGAUCUUCGGACCUUGCGCGAUUGAAUGAGCCGAUGUCGGAUUAGCUAGUUGGCGGGGUAAAGGCCCACCAAGGCGACGAUCCGUAGCUGGUCUGAGAGGAUGAUCAGCCACACUGGAACUGAGACACGGUCCAGACUCCUACGGGAGGCAGCAGUGGGGAAUAUUGGACAAUGGGCGCAAGCCUGAUCCAGCCAUACCGCGUGGGUGAAGAAGGCCCUCGGGUUGUAAAGCCCUUUUGUUGGGAAAGAAAAGCAGCAGGUUAAUACCCCGCUGUUCUGACGGUACCCAAAGAAUAAGCACCGGCUAACUUCGUG
This 492-nucleotide ribosomal RNA is filed under the name uncultured bacterium. RNAcentral describes it as "partial 16S ribosomal RNA". It matches the Rfam family "Bacterial small subunit ribosomal RNA", at positions 29 to 507 of the family's 1533-position model. The record is from RNAcentral.